GUAGGGGUGAAGGCACCUCAUUAGCUAGACAAGGAAUCAUGAGGAGACACUGGCGAGCUCUGCUGGGGGUCCUGUGCAUCCAAGUUUGCUUGGUGAGAGGGCUGGAGGUGGAGCAGAGCCCUUCAGCCCUGAGCCUCCAGGAGGGAGCCAGCUCUACUCUGAAGUGCAACUUUUCUAGCACUCCAGACAGUGUGCAGUGGUUCCAACAGAAUUUCGGAGGUGGUGGCCUCACCCGGCUGUUUUACAUAGCCUCGGGGAUGAAGCAGAGUGGAAGGCUAAAUUGCACAGUGAAUGCUAAGGAACGGUCCAGCACCCUUCACAUCACGGCCUCCCAGUUGGAAGACUCAGCCACCUACUUGUGUGCGGUAGAGGCACAGUGCUCCCUGGUGAUCUGCAGCCUGCACCUAAACUGCAGCUGAGCCUGCAGCCCCAGCUCUUCCCUGGAGCAGGCAUUUGCCCCCAAAGCAGCCUUUGCACAUUUUCAGACUUUCAGAUUUAUGUUACAGCACUUUUUUUCCCCUUCUAAAAUUAGACCCAUCAGGGCUUUCAGUUCACUUGCUUUUCUUGCCCCUUUUCUUCCCAGAAAGUCCUUUGCUGAUAAAAAGCUCUAUGAAGAAGCCACUGGGCCAAAGACAGAGACGCCCAUAUCUAAUACCCUGGGAAACCAGAUCCCCUGGCAGCUAGUAUAUAAAUUAUACGUAAAUAGCCAAAUGGAAAAUGCUCAAAAAAUUCAAUGGUUGUCAACAAACAGAAAGAGAUUACUAAAUUUUUUAGUUACUUGUAGGUGGUUCUUGUUCAAAGAAAUGUAAGGAGAACGUAAUAUUUUUUAAAGUCUGUAUUCACCUUUUCCAGUCCUGGAAAUACAAAUAUAAUAAAAUAAUUUUA
Zalophus californianus (California sea lion) is the source of this 885-nucleotide non-coding RNA. The record is from the annotation of a RefSeq genome assembly. Lineage: Eukaryota; Metazoa; Chordata; Mammalia; Carnivora; Otariidae.